This is a non-coding RNA of Podarcis lilfordi (Lilford's wall lizard), 76 nucleotides long. Lineage: Eukaryota; Metazoa; Chordata; Lepidosauria; Squamata; Lacertidae. The record is from the annotation of a GenBank genome assembly.
GCUCGCGUGGCAUAGUGGGUAGAGUGUCAGGCUAGGUCGGACUUGGAAGACUAGGGUUCAAAUCCCCACUCGGGCA